This 465-nucleotide ribosomal RNA is filed under the name uncultured bacterium. RNAcentral's name for it is "partial 16S ribosomal RNA". It matches the Rfam family "Bacterial small subunit ribosomal RNA", at positions 28 to 507 of the family's 1533-position model. The record is from RNAcentral.
GACGAACGCUGGCGGCGUGCUUAACACAUGCAAGUCGAACGGAAAGGCCCUGCUUGCAGGGUACUCGAGUUGCGAACGGGUGAGUAACACGUGGGUGAUCUGCCCUGCACUUCGAGAUAAGCCUGUGCAACUGGGCCUAAUACCGGAUAUGUCCUUCCAUGUAGUGUGGGGGGUGGAAAGAUUUAUCGGUGUGGGUUGGGCCCGCAGGCUAUCGGCUUGUUGGUGGGGUAAUGGCCUACCAAGGCGCCGACGGGUAGCCGGCCUGGGAGGGUGGACGGCCACAUUGGGACUGCGAUAGGCACCAGAAUCGUAUGGGACGCAGCAGUGGGGAAUAUUGCGCAAUGGGCGGAAGCGUUAUGCAGCGACGCCGCGUGGGUGAUGACGGGCUUCGGGUUAAAAACCUCUUUCGACAGGGACGAAGCUUCGGUGACGGUACCUGUAGAAGAAGCACCGGCUAACUACGUG